Molecule: long non-coding RNA, 73 nt
Organism: Etheostoma cragini (Arkansas darter)
Lineage: Eukaryota; Metazoa; Chordata; Actinopteri; Perciformes; Percidae
Exons: 3
Source: RefSeq, a predicted model, not a curated record
AUAUAGUGUAGACUACUGUACAUUCAUGUAACAACAGGGAGAGGACACCUCAAUGUUUAUAGGGAGAGGACAC